AUACUCACCUGGCAGUAGAGAUACCAUCAUCAAAAAAAGCUUAUCCAUUGCACUCUGGAUGUGCUGACCCCUGUGAUUUCCCCAAAUGUAGGAAACUCAACUGCACAAUUUGUGGUAGUGCAGGAUUGUGUUCAUGCUCUCUCCUGAG
Molecule: small nuclear RNA, 148 nt
Filed under: Microcebus murinus (gray mouse lemur)
Lineage: Eukaryota; Metazoa; Chordata; Mammalia; Primates; Cheirogaleidae
Description: U1 spliceosomal RNA (ENSMICG00000018758.3)
Rfam family: U1 spliceosomal RNA
About the family: U1 is a small nuclear RNA (snRNA) component of the spliceosome (involved in pre-mRNA splicing). Its 5' end forms complementary base pairs with the 5' splice junction, thus defining the 5' donor site of an intron. There are significant differences in sequence and secondary structure between metazoan and yeast U1 snRNAs, the latter being much longer (568 nucleotides as compared to 164 nucleotides in human).
Source: RNAcentral